AUUGAUGAUAGCUAUGAAGUAUGACAUUUUGCUCUUUGAUUGCAAUACAAGUUCUUGUUAUGACAAAUGAAAAUGGGAGCUGUAUUACACAGAUGGAUUUGGACGAUACAUUAUUGAGAUUUGACAAAAUGUCCACAACUUGGACAUGGAGGAGAAACAAUGGAAGAUCAGAAGGCACUUUUACAUUCAUCUUCAUCUCUCUAGCAAUAUUCUUGGGGAUGUUUUAAUGAGAAAACAGAAGCUGCGUUAUGGUUGAAAUUGAAAUAAUUAUACAUGAGUAAAAGUCUGACAAACAAAUUGCAUUCGAAAGAGAGCUUGUAUUCUCAUCGCAUGGUAGAAAGUGGAUCUUUGAAAGAUCAUUUGGCUAUAUUCAAGAGGAUCAUUGCUGAUUUGGAGAUUUUAGAGGUAAAGUACGAUAAAAAAGAUUUGGCCUUAAUCCUUUUGUGUUCGCUGUCCACUGCGUUUAGAGAUGCAAUCUUGUAUAGUUGUGAUACUCUUGCACAUUGAAGAGUCGUAUAAUACUUUGUUUUCAAAAGAUAAGAUGAAGC
Molecule: long non-coding RNA, 548 nt
Filed under: Olea europaea subsp. europaea
Lineage: Eukaryota; Viridiplantae; Streptophyta; Magnoliopsida; Lamiales; Oleaceae
Source: RNAcentral